RNAcentral lists this ribosomal RNA (409 nucleotides) under uncultured bacterium. Its description in RNAcentral is "bacterial SSU rRNA". It matches the Rfam family "Bacterial small subunit ribosomal RNA", at positions 36 to 436 of the family's 1533-position model. The record is from RNAcentral.
CUGGCGGCAUGCUUUACACAUGCAAGUCGAACGGCAGCACGGGUGCUUGCACCUGGUGGCGAGUGGCGAACGGGUGAGUAAUAUAUCGGAACGUACCCGGCAAUGGGGGAUAACGUAGCGAAAGUUACGCUAAUACCGCAUAUGCCCUGAGGGGGAAAGUGGGGGAUCGGAAACGACCUCACGUUGUCGGAGCGGCCGAUAUCAGAUUAGCUAGUUGGUGGGGUAAAGGCCUACCAAGGCGACGAUCUGUAGCUGGUCUGAGAGGAUGAUCAGCCACACUGGGACUGAGACACGGCCCAGACUCCUACGGGAGGCAGCAGUGGGGAAAUUUUGGACAAUGGGGGCAACCCCUGAUCCAGCCCAUGCCGCGUUGAGUUGAAAAAAGGCCUUCCGGUUUGUUAAGCUCCUU